Molecule: long non-coding RNA, 4413 nt
Organism: Theobroma umbraticum
Lineage: Eukaryota; Viridiplantae; Streptophyta; Magnoliopsida; Malvales; Malvaceae
Source: RefSeq, a predicted model, not a curated record
AGAAAAUUUGAGUGUGCGGAACUUGGGAGAAUCCACCCACACCAAGAAAUGGCAAAAUGAUUUUGCCUUGAGAAAACUCACACCCUUGGAAAGAAAAAGAGAAAGAAUUAGCUUGGAAGCAAAAAGAGAAAGGAAGAAAAGAGAAAGAAAGGAGAAAGAAAAAAAAGAUAAGGAAGGUUUAACCUAGUGGUUCCAAGCUAAGGAAGCAAACGUCUUCCAAGAAUUGAAAGAAAUAAAUGCAUGCAUAGAGGUGGAUCUUGGAAUGUAUGGUGAUUUUGAGCUAGAUAAGCAAUGGCAAUGAUGACCAUGGAUGGGAGGAAAUUGUGAACCAUAUGUGGAACUCAAGCUAAAACUGAGAGAUAUAAUCAGCUCAAGUGCAUUGCUCAACACCUUGAGACUUGCUGCAACAUAGGUUUGGAACUUUCAUGAGGUAAGUUAUAAAAAACAAAAAAAGACGUUGUAGCUUUAUUUACUCAGUGUCGCGGCCUGGCGCAUUAAGCCUUAUCUCAUACAAAAACCCAAAAAGAAGCUAUUGUGGUGCUAUAAAGUCAACUCCAUGAUGUUGACCAUUUAACUAAACCCAUAUAUUGGGCUAGAGCUAAAACGCCACGAUGUUGUGUAACAAGGCUUUUCUUUAAAGGCUCAAAAUUUUUUCCUUUCUCUCAUCUCUCUUCAUAUUUUAGGGUUCUUUUCUCUCUCUACCCUUUACACUUCUUCUUCUUUCUUCCAUCCACUUCACACCCAUUCAUAAUUUUUGCAUUUUCUCACUUCUUUGUGAUAAGUAAGGGUAUUCUUCCAUUCAUUCUCUAAUUUUUUGCGUUGUUCAAUUAAGUGAGUCAAGUUCUUUCACUCUUUUUUUUUUCAGAUUUGUUAGCUAGGAAUAUUGUGGGAAUGUUUGAUGUUAAUUGAUGAAUGGGUUGCUCGAAUCUAUGCUAGUAUAACUUAGGUGUGUUGGGUUUUCUUUAUCUUUCCUAGAUUUGUGAUGAACUUAGUUUUGUUUUUUUGGUGAGUAUGAAUAAUGCCCAUUAAUAUUUGCAUUGGCAUAGAAUUAGUGAGAUGGUAUAAUGGUAUUUUCAAAUAAUAAUAUAUCAUUGAAUGAGGAAUUUACUUGGACUGUUGUUGCUUGUUUUAAGAGGAAGUAUUUUUUAUUUGAACAAAAUGGCCCCCAAGAAAACAACUCACGAGAGUGGUAGUAGGACUCGAUUCAAUCGUAGCAAAUUUGUGUUUACUGAUGCCGUUGAGAGACAUACACAAUCACUGAUGCAUAAAGUCCCAAUUCCAGAGCGGGGCAUUGAUUUCCAUCUUAAGUUAUAUGGUUUGGUUCAUAAGGUCAUCACUGAGCCACAAUGGGAGCAAUUUUGUGAAUAACCUGAGGUCGUUGUCUUACUAGUGGUUCAUGAAUUCUAUGCCAAUUCCAUUGAGCACGUUCAUGGCCAAGUGUUUGUAUGAUGAUGUCAAGUUCGUUUUGAUAGUGCAACCAUCAAUCAAAUUUAUAGGUUACCUAAUAUUGAGCAUGAUGACUAUAACCAAUUCUUGAUGGGCUACAUUGAUUUGGAUGGGGUUUUUGGUGUGCUUUGUGAUGAGAGGGUGGAAUGGAAAAUGACAAAAGGCGUACCUCUGUCUUUUAAGGCCAAUACCAUGAAGACAUUUCAUAAGAUCUAGUAUCACUUUUUAACUUUAAGGCUGCUUCCUAUGAAACAUAUUAGUGAUGUGAAAUGAGAUCGAGCUAUUUUGUGAUAUGCAAUUACUUAUGGCAUGUCAAUCAAUGUCGGCCAAGUGAUAUUCAAUAGCAUUGUUCAAGUGACCUAUUCACUUAAGGAUAAGCUCUAGUAUCCCUUGUUGAUCACUGCCCUGUGUACGAAAGUGGGUGUUAGUUGGGAUAAAAAUGAAGAAAUCUUGCAACCGAAAGCACCAUUGGAUGCCAGAAUUGUGAAUCAAUUUUAUGCUCGCGAGUUACCAGCUGCCGAUGAUAGUUCUUCUUCAGUUCCACAUCAUCUUUCACCUUGGAGGCCACCUCAACAUCUAUCCAUGUCUCAGAGGAUGGAAUGACUUUGAGCUUUGAAUGGAUUAUUAGGCCGAAUGUAUGCAAUCCAUGGAGUAAAUGAUGCGUACUUAUGCUAAACAUGUUGGUAUGGUAUGAGAUGUUUUCCUAUGCUCCCCAAUGAUCCCACAGCGAGAGGACUUACCAGAUGACAAUGAGGUCGAGGAUAUCUAGAGACAACCUGCCAGUGAAGGGAGUUUUCCUUUACCUUACUUUAUUUAACAUUGAGGACAAUGUUAUUUUUAAGUUUGGGGGAAAUUUUAAGUUAGUGGUUAAAGUAGUAAAUUUUAAUUUAAAUUGAUACAUGUGCAUUUGCAUUUGAACUAGAUUUAAUUGUGCCAUUUCCGUUUAGUUUACCUAUCCAAUGAUAAUAACAUAGUUUCAUGCUUAUUUUGAUUAUUCGAAACAUAUGAAUAUUGUUUGAGAGUUAUAUAAAUUCUUAUGCUAAGCUUUAUUGUUAAGAUGAAAUCUUUACAUUUUGAGCACCAUGUUUAUUGCUUAGAUUCAUUAUAUGAAUUUAGAGAAGGUUUAUGUGAAUGUGAAAAUUUUGAAUUAUAUAUUAAGUUCUAGAAUUUGUUUGAUUCUCUCUCGAGGUGAAAUUCUAGAUUACACUUGGUCAAAAGAAAUGAUUUAGGCUAUUUUUGGACCGAUUGAGCCUUUUGUAGCUUUUCUUUGCAUAAAUUAUCCUUAGUUUUCCCCUUUAAGCCUAAUGACAUCUUUUCUUUGUUUGAACACUUAAUUUUUAGCCUAGACUCCUAUAUUAAUGUUUUCAACUAUUAUUGCAUCCCUCAUUCCUAAGCGCAUAAGUCAAUUUAAGAAGUUUUUUGAGCUGCAUAAUGAAAAAGGUAGUCAAGAUGAAAAAUGAAGAAAAGUUCAAAAUAUGAUUGUAUUCAUCUCACUAUCGAAUCAAAGAAAUAAGUUUGGGGGUGUGAAAUUGAGAAAAAGAAAAAGGGAAAGAAAAAAGAAGAAAAAGGAUGAAGUGAUGAACAAAAGAAAAGUCUUGAUGAAAAGGGGUAUAUUAGGAGAAGGAAGAUAAAGCUCUUAAUAGAGUGACUAUGUGCUUAGGAUGAUUUGAGCCAUGCAUUGUUCCAUAUCUCACCUUGACCUUAGCCAUACAUUACAAGCUAAUUAAAAUCCUAUUGAUCCUUGAUUUAGUGUUAGUCUACAUUAGUGGAGAGAGAGAUAAAAAGUAAACUUAUGAAAUUUCAUUACUAAUUUUGAAUUUUGCAUGAAUAUAAACUUAUCCAGAUUGUACAAUGUAUAGGUGAGAAGAUUGUACACACACAUGGAAAUUCACUUAUAAUAAGCUUGCAUUUGAAUUAAGACAUGAACUUGAAUAAUAUUUGUAUGUGGAUUAUAGUUAUGAAUAUGGAGGAACUUUUGAGGAUAUUAAAAGUAAAUAAUGAAAUGGAGCAAUUGAACUCUAGUUAAAUGUUUUUAUGUUGAGGUUAUUACAUUUAGUUCUAUGUUUUGCUCAAGGACUUGUAAAAUCUUGAGUUUAGGGGUUUAAUAAUUAUGUUAUAUAAAGUUAUUUUUAACACAUUUUAGAGACUUUAGUAGUUAGACUUUUGAGUUUUAGGUUUGGUUUGAGCAUUUUAAUUGUUCUUCUAAGUUAAGUUAGAUUAUAUGUUGAAUAGUUAGAUUAAGUUGUUUUAGUUUAGUUUACUUUAAGAAGAGUUAAUGUCGAUUUCUCUCAUGGUUAUGUGCAAGAUAUGUGAUAAGUAAAGUGAAAUUAAGUUAUGAUAGCGCAAGCAUGGUGAAGGCGUCACUCACACAUACUGCGAUAAUUUAAAGAUAACUUGAGUUAUAGAAGUCCAAUUGAUGUGAUUUUUGAUUCAUUAGAAAGUUAAUAGAAUGGGAUAGAACUUUCAUGUUUACAACUUUGACUAGUUUGAACGAAAUCCAGGUGAAAAUCAUGUUGAAGAUGAUAGACAAAUGUAGACUACACACAAGGCAGCAUGGUAACUGAGGUUGCGGGGCUGAGUCACUCAAGGGCGUGAUGUUGAAGGGACCAUUGCCACAGCGUUGGAAGCUUGUGGCCACGGUGUUGGGUUGGAUAGACACAUCAUACUAAAGGCCAAGAGAAUGGUGGCGUGGAGCCAGAAAAAGAGCACCACAACACAACCAAAGCUUGUCAUGGCACGACGACACCAAGGAAUCAUGGUCGUGCCGCCACCUUGGUUACCAAAAUUAAAAAUUUUGACAGCAAGUUGGAAAGUAGGGCAUCUUGCACAUAUUUAAGAGGCUUUUUGAGAGUAUUCAGAAGGAAAAAUGAGAGAAACUUUUUUGGAGAAUUGGAGUUAAGAAUUAAGCAAGAAUUCAAGAGCAAUUGAGAGAGAUUGGCAAUCAAUCAGGCUUCGAUAUUAGUUUAU